RNAcentral lists this ribosomal RNA (422 nucleotides) under uncultured bacterium. RNAcentral's name for it is "bacterial SSU rRNA". It matches the Rfam family "Bacterial small subunit ribosomal RNA", at positions 355 to 774 of the family's 1533-position model. The record is from RNAcentral.
UGAGGAAUAUUGGGCAAUGCCCGCAAGGGUGACCCAGCAACGCCGCGUGGAGGAUGAAUGUCGUAAGAUUGUAAACUCCUGUUAGAGGGGAAGAAUAGUACCGGUUGGACCGGUAUAUGACUGUACCCUCAGAGAAAGCCCCGGCUAACUACGUGCCAGCAGCCGCGGUAAUACGUAGGGGGCAAGCGUUGUCCGGAUUUACUGGGUGUAAAGGGCGCGCAGGCGGGAUAAAAAGUCAGUGGUGAAAUCCUACAGCUUAACUGUAGAACUGCCUUUGAUACUUUUAUUCUUGAGUUCGGGAGAGAGAGACGGAAUUCCAGGUGUAGUGGUGAAAUGCGUAGAUAUCUGGAAGAACACCAGUUGCGAAGGCGGUCUCUUGGUCCGACACUGACGCUGAGGCGCGAAAGCGUGGGGAGCAAACA